Molecule: ribosomal RNA, 727 nt
Filed under: Pelodryas splendida (magnificent tree frog)
Lineage: Eukaryota; Metazoa; Chordata; Amphibia; Anura; Pelodryadidae
Description: Litoria splendida (magnificent tree frog) partial 12S ribosomal RNA
Rfam family: Bacterial small subunit ribosomal RNA
Source: RNAcentral
UGCUAGUAUCCGCACCCCUGUGAAAACGCCCUUAAUAUCCUUAUCGGAAUAAGGAGCCGGUAUCAGGCACAUCAUUCUGCCCAAGACACCUAGCUAUGCCACACCCACAAGGGACUUCAGCAGUGAUUAAUAUUGAACAUGAGCGACAGCUUGAUUCAGUUAAAGUGCACAAAGCCGGCAAAUCUGGUGCCAGCCGCCGCGGUUACACCAAGAGGCUUAAGUUGACUUCGAUCGGCGUAAAGCGUGAUUAAAGUUAUUAAAAAAAUAAAGUUAAACUACCACUAAGCUGUAGUACGCUUGUAUGUAGGAAUCUCAUAAACGAAAGUUACUUUAAUAAUAACAACUUGAACUCACGAAAGCUAGGGAACAAACUGGGAUUAGAUACCCCACUAUGCCUAGCCGUAAACUUUAAAUUACACCUCAAUCGCCCGGGAACUACGAGCAGAGCUUAAAACCCAAAGGACUUGACGGUACCCCAUAUCCACCUAGAGGAGCCUGUCCUAUAAUCGAUAACCCCCGCUUAACCUCACCAUUUUUAGCCUAUCAGCCUGUAUACCUCCGUCGUCAGCUUACCACGUGAGCGAAGUUCAGUAAGCUCAAUGUCCAUACGUCAAUACGUCAGGUCAAGGUGCAGUAAAUAAAAUGGGAAGAGAUGGGCUACAUUUUCUAUCAUAGAAUAAACGAAAGACUAUUUAUGAAACCUAGUCAGAAGGCGGAUUUAGUAGUA